AUACGUAGGGUGCAAGCGUUAUCCGGAAUUAUUGGGCAUAAAGAGCUCGUAGGCGGCUUGUCGCGUCUGGUGUGAAAGUCCAUCGCUUAACGGUGGAUCUGCGCCGGGUACGGGCAGGCUAGAGUGCGGUAGGGGAGACUGGAAUUCCCGGUGUAACGGUGGAAUGUGUAAAAAGAUAUCGGGAAGAACACCAAUGGCGAAGGCAGGUCUCUGGGCCGUCACUGACGCUGAGGAGCGAAAGCGUGGGGAGC
RNAcentral lists this ribosomal RNA (251 nucleotides) under uncultured bacterium. RNAcentral describes it as "partial 16S ribosomal RNA". It matches the Rfam family "Bacterial small subunit ribosomal RNA", at positions 523 to 769 of the family's 1533-position model. The record is from RNAcentral.